CCUGCCUGUUUUCCAUCUGUGUUGCAUUUUACUCUUUGGGGUGCUCGUUUUCCUUGGGAGAAGCCGGUGCCGGUGUCACCCACCCAGGCACACACCGCGAUGCCGCUCCCAGCCCUCGCCGGAGAUGCCGGCCGUGCCUGAGGGCGCUGCUGCUCGCCGGGACCGAGAGAUGGUAACGCCGCGGCGGGGAGCAGCUCCACAGCGCGCUGCCCUGCCCGGAGCCGCCGCCUGAGCAGCGCUGUGCCCCAGCCGGGCUCCCGCAGCCCCGCUGCCUCUCCGGGGAGCUGCGCGCCCGCUCCGGGGCUCCUCGGGGACCCGCCGGCUCCCUGCCGCUUCCCUGCCGCUUCCCUGCCGCUUCACCGCCGCUUCCCGGCCGCUUCCCUGCGCCAUCCCCGGGGCAGGCGGCCCCAGGUCCCGCACACGUGCCCGCUCGCCAAGUGCCAAGAUCACAGUCAGAAGGGAGUCACCCAUGAAGAUUGGUUCAUGCAGCUAAGCUGACUUCCAUGGAUAAAGUUCAAAACAGAAAAGGUCAGUUUUACAUAUGUAAUUUUGUUUAUGUUUAGUUUUCUGACUUAUGUUUAGUUUU
Junco hyemalis (dark-eyed junco) is the source of this 586-nucleotide long non-coding RNA. The record is from Ensembl. Lineage: Eukaryota; Metazoa; Chordata; Aves; Passeriformes; Passerellidae.